This 299-nucleotide unclassified non-coding RNA is filed under the name uncultured Cortinarius. RNAcentral describes it as "sequence contains ITS2". The stretch from base 1 to 52 matches the Rfam family "5.8S ribosomal RNA", at positions 103 to 154 of the family's 154-position model. Lineage: Eukaryota; Fungi; Basidiomycota; Agaricomycetes; Agaricales; Cortinariaceae. The record is from RNAcentral.
AACGCACCUUGCGCUCCUUGGUAUUCCGAGGAGCAUGCCUGUUUGAGUGUCAUUAAUAUAUCAACCUCUUUUAAAUUUUGAGAGUGUUUGGAUGUGGGGGUGUUAUUUUGCUGGCCUUUUCUAAAGGUCAGCUCCCCUGAAAUGUAUUAGCGGAACAAUUUGUUGACCGUUCAUUGGUGUGAUAGCAUAUCUACGCUAUUGACGUGAAGCAAGUUCAGCUUAUAACAGUCCAUUGACUUGGACAAUUCUCUAUUUAUUAAUGUGACCUCAAAUCAGGUAGGACUACCCGCUGAACUUAA